RNAcentral lists this ribosomal RNA (296 nucleotides) under Rosenbergiella australiborealis. Its description in RNAcentral is "partial 16S ribosomal RNA". It matches the Rfam family "Bacterial small subunit ribosomal RNA", at positions 1156 to 1450 of the family's 1533-position model. The record is from RNAcentral. Lineage: Bacteria; Pseudomonadati; Pseudomonadota; Gammaproteobacteria; Enterobacterales; Erwiniaceae.
UGAUAAACCGGAGGAAGGUGGGGAUGACGUCAAGUCAUCAUGGCCCUUACGAGCAGGGCUACACACGUGCUACAAUGGCGUAUACAAAGGGAAGCGACCUCGCGAGAGCAAGCGGACCUCAAAAAGUGCGUCGUAGUCCGGAUUGGAGUCUGCAACUCGACUCCAUGAAGUCGGAAUCGCUAGUAAUCGUAAAUCAGAAUGUUACGGUGAAUACGUUCCCGGGCCUUGUACACACCGCCCGUCACACCAUGGGAGUGGGUUGCAAAAGAAGUAGAUAGCUUUAACCUUCGGGAGGG